RNAcentral lists this ribosomal RNA (496 nucleotides) under uncultured bacterium. Its description in RNAcentral is "partial 16S ribosomal RNA". It matches the Rfam family "Bacterial small subunit ribosomal RNA", at positions 29 to 507 of the family's 1533-position model. The record is from RNAcentral.
AUGCACGCUGGCGGCGUGCCUAAUACAUUCCAGUCGAGCGAACAGACGAGGAGCUUGCUCCUCUGACGUUAGCGGCGGCCGGGUGAGUAACACGUGGAUAACCUACCUAUAAGACUGGGAUAACUUCGGGAAACCGGAGCUAAUACCGGAUAAUAUAUUGAACCGCAUGGUUCAAUAGUGAAAGACGGUUUUGCUGUCACUUAUAGAUGGAUCCGCGCCGCAUUAGCUAGUUGGUAAGGUAACAGCUUACCAAGGCAACGAUGCGUAGCCGACCUGAGAGGGUGGUCGGCCACAUGGGAACGGAGACACGGACCAGACGCCUACGGGAGGCAGCAGUAGGGAAUCUUCCGCAAUGGGCGAAAGCUUGACGGAGCAACGCCGCGUGAGUGAUGAAGGUGUUCGGAUCGUAAAACUCUGUUAUUAGGGAAGAACAAAUGUGUAAGUAACUAUGCACGUCUUGACGGUACCUAAUCAGAAAGCCACGGCUAACUACGUG